RNAcentral lists this long non-coding RNA (219 nucleotides) under Elaeis guineensis (African oil palm). RNAcentral's name for it is "long non-coding RNA (EGUI_LNC005996)". Lineage: Eukaryota; Viridiplantae; Streptophyta; Magnoliopsida; Arecales; Arecaceae. The record is from RNAcentral.
UCCCUCAGGUUUCCUCAUCGUGUCAAGACAAAGUCUUGAUCUGCCGAUUCUAGUCCCACAAGACUCUCCUUUCAUUGAUUAUCAAAGUUUAAUUGAUGGGUUUUAUUCCGAUUAAGGUGAUGUAGUGUUAUGUUUUUGUCUCGUGUUGAUGUUAGUUUUAAGCUCCUGUUUUGACUCUGGGUUGAAGUUUUAUCAUGUUGAUAAUAAACUGGAUAUGGA